Molecule: non-coding RNA, 999 nt
Organism: Nicotiana tabacum (common tobacco)
Lineage: Eukaryota; Viridiplantae; Streptophyta; Magnoliopsida; Solanales; Solanaceae
Source: RefSeq, a predicted model, not a curated record
UCAUCUUCUGGAGGAGACAAAAACACACAGCUCCUCCUUCUUCCUGGACUGAACAGAAGCCUUAAAAUGACCUUUAGCUGCUGGACCACCUCCAACGCCACUGGACACUCCCUCGCCACUAACAAUACUAACCACUAUUCCCUCACCUCCAUUAAUCUCCGUGUGAGCUCUCACUCUAGACCCCAAGCACAACAGCGACCCCCACCAACUUCUUCUUAUUCAAACACUAGCCAGAACAGACCACUCCUUUAGUCGUGGCUUCUUCCUCUUCUAGCCUUGAACACCUAUGAACGGAUCCCCACUGUUACCCUCACACAAAAGACCCCCUGCUUCUUCAACAUUAGGACACAAGGAAGAGAACGACCUCCUCUCUCCAAUUUUCGGCCAGCGUACCUUCCCAUUUCUCGUUUCCAUAGACAGAGAUCGAGAGGAAGUUCUGGACAGAAUCUUAGCAAAUUUCUCGGUUGAUUUGUUUGAUUUCGAUUUGAGUUUCGAAGUGAUGGAAUUCAAAUGAGUGAAGGUGUCGAAUUCGUGGGUGCUCGUUGAAUGCCGUCGGGUUUUGAAGUGUUUGUUUUGGUGCUCAUUUGGUGGAAUACGCUUCUGUUCAUUGAGCUUUAGUUGCCGCCUUCAAGUGUAUUAUUUUACCAACAUCGAAUUGAUUGAAACUCCCUCUUCCAGAUCCAGGUAUCUCAGGGCACGGUAGCGGUUGUUGACUAUUCCGGUCGCGGAAUUCAUGGAGACAGCGAGGUAGCUGCCCGUCGAUUCGCAGUUCCGUUUUUCUCCAUCCCUAUCUUCCUAUUAGUAUAUUGUUGCUAUUUUCAGACUAUUUGGUCUUGUCAUGUUUCAAAGCUAUUGUAGCAUGGCUCAUGACUUAGUGACACCCGAGGUCGAGCUUGUAUUUUUCCGCUUUGUGUGAUUUUGACUUCAUAACUUUUAUCGGAUUUCAGUUGAAAAAUGGUUUUUCUUAAGUUCUAAAUGAAAUGUGGAUUAAAUUGGGAA